Molecule: ribosomal RNA, 301 nt
Filed under: uncultured bacterium
Lineage: Bacteria
Description: partial 16S ribosomal RNA
Rfam family: Bacterial small subunit ribosomal RNA
Source: RNAcentral
CAGUAGCCGCGGUAAUACAGAGGAUGCAAGCGUUAUCCGGAAUGAUUGGGCGUAAAGGGCGCGUAGGCGGCGAUCAAAGUCAGGCGUGAAAUUCCUGGGCUCAACCUGGGGGCUGCGUUUGAUACUUGAUUGCUAGAGUGGGGAAGAGGGUCGUGGAAUUCCCAGUGUAGAGGUGAAAUUCGUAGAUAUUGGGAAGAACACCGGUGGCGAAGGCGGCGACCUGGUCCUUGACUGACGCUGAAGCGCGAAAGCGUGGGGAGCAAACAGGAUUAGAUACCCCAGUAGUCCCUGUCUCUUAUAC